RNAcentral lists this ribosomal RNA (465 nucleotides) under uncultured bacterium. RNAcentral describes it as "partial 16S ribosomal RNA". It matches the Rfam family "Bacterial small subunit ribosomal RNA", at positions 338 to 795 of the family's 1533-position model. The record is from RNAcentral.
CCUACGGGUGGCAGCAGUGGGGAAUUUUGGACAAUGGGCGCAAGCCUGAUCCAGCUAUUCCGCGUGUGGGAAGACGGCCUUAGGGGUUUAAACCACUUUUGUAGAGAACGCAACGUCUAUUGAUAAUACCGAUCGAUGAUGACGGUACUCUAAGAAUAAGCACAGUCUAACGACGGGCCAGCAGCCGCGGUAAUACGUAGGGUGCGAGCGUUAAUCGGAAUUACUGAGCGGAAAGGGGGAGUAGGUGGUAUUGCAAGUUGGAUGUGAAGGACCCGGGCUUAACCUGGGAAAGCCAUACAUGACUGCAAGACUAGAGUGCGUCAGAGGGAGGUGGAAUUCCAAGUGUAGCAGUGAAAUGCGUAGAUAUUUGGAAGAACACCGAUGGCGAAGGCAGCCCCCUGGGACACAACUGACGCUCAUACACGAAAGCGUGGGGAGCAAACAGGAUUAGAUACCCCUGUAGUC